AACGAACGCUGGCGGCAUGCCUAACACAUGCAAGUCGAACGAGACCUUCGGGUCUAGUGGCGCACGGGUGCGUAACGCGUGGGAACCUGCCCUUAGGUUCGGAAUAACUCCCCGAAAGGGGUGCUAAUACCGGAUAAUGUCUUCGGACCAAAGAUUUAUCGCCUUUGGAUGGGCCCGCGUUGGAUUAGCUAGUUGGUAGGGUAAAAGCCUACCAAGGCGACGAUCCAUAGCUGGUCUGAGAGGAUGAUCAGCCACACUGGGACUGAGACACGGCCCAGACUCCUACGGGAGGCAGCAGUGGGGAAUAUUGGACAAUGGGCGAAAGCCUGAUCCAGCAAUGCCGGGUGAGAGAUGAAGGCCUUAGGGUUGUAAAGCUCUUUUAGCCGGGAUGAUAAUGACAGUACCGGGAGAAUAAGCUCCGGCUAACUCCGUG
RNAcentral lists this ribosomal RNA (433 nucleotides) under uncultured bacterium. RNAcentral describes it as "partial 16S ribosomal RNA". It matches the Rfam family "Bacterial small subunit ribosomal RNA", at positions 29 to 507 of the family's 1533-position model. The record is from RNAcentral.